Molecule: transfer RNA, 559 nt
Filed under: uncultured Gammaproteobacteria bacterium
Lineage: Bacteria; Pseudomonadati; Pseudomonadota; Gammaproteobacteria
Description: partial 16S-23S ribosomal RNA intergenic spacer
Rfam family: tRNA (bases 75-148)
Source: RNAcentral
CCUCCUUAAAGAGAUCAUCGGAAUUAUCAGGUGAGUGCUCACGCGUAAAAACUAAUUAUUUGUAAAAGGCAUCUGGGUCUGUAGCUCAGUUGGUUAGAGCGCACCCCUGAUAAGGGUGAGGUCGGUGGUUCAAAUCCACCCAGACCCACCAGUUUUGGGUUGCUCUGAUUGAGUCUGGUCGGGAAUUGGGGCUAUAGCUCAGCUGGGAGAGCGCCUGCCUUGCACGCAGGAGGUCAGCGGUUCGAUCCCGCUUAGCUCCACCAUUAUUCGAUAAUGGGGCGCUGGGACUAAUCGAGAGAGAGAAAUCAGAACUAAGCGAUUCGAGUGAAUAGUUUANUUCUGGUUUUUACUGGACGGCAUCGGGGACGANCCAUGUCGUAAAUCUUUAACAAGUUAAUUGAAUCUGUAAUUGUUCAUUGAACAAUGAAAAAAUCUGUCCUUAAUUGGGCAGUGAAUGAAAAAUGUCAAGCGUAAUACUCAUCAAGCGUUAAAUUAAGGUUAGUAUUGAUUGACCUGGAACAGGAAAAUGUUUUGGGUUUUUAUUCAACCACUAACCUUU